Molecule: RNA transcript, 7521 nt
Organism: Pongo pygmaeus (Bornean orangutan)
Lineage: Eukaryota; Metazoa; Chordata; Mammalia; Primates; Hominidae
Gene: ZNF35
Gene name: zinc finger protein 35
Exons: 6
Source: RefSeq, a predicted model, not a curated record
CUUCUGCCCCAUCCCUGGUCUGGGGCGACAUUGGACACCCAUCGAGAGGAAAGCACCUCCGAGAUUCCUAGAGAGGCCGGCUUGGCGACUUGGGGAGCCGGAAGCCCAUCCCGAGGCACUUCCUGUCCGGUCAUUGUUCUCGUGCCGGUAGAAGCUGAGGUCGCGGUCAGCCAGCCUCUUGCUGCAGAGCCAGUGAACUCAGGUCGGGCUUCUCAGCUGCGCACAGUGAGUGGGGUCGGAGUGGGUGGGCACGAACGUCAAGGGAGAAAAAGGGGCUCUCCCAGGGGCCAUGGCCCUAGGAACGGCCCCUGCGUCCUUUCCCCGGGGACACCAGCCUUGUCUGGCGGGGGGCGGUGAGUUCCCCACCGCCUCGGAAUCCCGGCUGCUGCCCACCUGGGGCCUGGCCCGGGAGAGGAUGGACACAGACCGGCCAAGGGGCCAGAUAGGUCCCACGGACAGGGCCGCGAGGAGCCUAUACGUGGAGAGAAUGGAUUGCCACGUUUGGAAAUAGAGAAAGGACAUUGAAAGGGAGCCUUUGAUAGAGGGCCCUGUGCGGUCUGGGACCGGAGGUCCGUCACAAUCUGAUCAGAAGUCUGAUGAGAGUACUCACAGUAGGCAGUCUUGCACAUACACAAGGUGGAACUAGUCUUAAGGACCUUCAUACCAGAUUGAAUUCGGAUAGUGAUGGAAAGAAUAGUCCUCCAGAAUUAAGUAGGCAGUACUCAUCUUGGCCCUGGGAAUAAACUCAAGAAGAACCUGUUGAAACAUAAAGCUUAGAUGGGGUUUGACCUCUGCUGGGCAGCUCCCAGCUAUAGGAGUUCCCCUGCUGAGCAGAGAAGAUGACUGCAGAAUUGAGAGAAGCUAUGGCCCUAGCCCCAUGGGGCCCAGUGAAGGUGAAAAAGGAGGAGGAAGAAGAAGAAAACUUCCCAGAUCAGGCAUCCAGCCAACAAGUGCACUCUGAGAACAUCAAAGUCUGGGCCCCAGUGCAGGGUCUUCAGACAGGCCUUGAUGGAUCAGAAGAGGAAGAAAAGGGUCAGAAUAUAUCCUGGGACAUGGCGGUAGUCCUGAAAGCAACUCAGGAGGCACCUGCUGCUUCACCCCUUGGCAGCUACUCGUUACCAGGGACUCUGGCCAAGAGUGAGAUACUGGAGACUCAUGGGACCAUGAACUUUCUAGGUGCUGAAACCAAGAACCUACAGUUACUGGUUCCAAAAACUGAGAUAUGUGAGGAAGCUGAAAAAUCCCUCAUCAUAUCAGAAAGAAUCCAGAAAGCUGAUCCUCAAGGACCUGAGUUAGGAGAAGCUUGUGAAAAAGGAAACAUGUUAAAGAGGCAGAGAAUAAAGAGGGAAAAGAAAGAUUUCAGACAAGUGAUAGUGAAUGACUAUCACUUACCUGAAAGCUUCAAAGGAGAGGAAAACCAGAAAUGUAAGAAAUCUGGGGGAAAAUACAGCCUUAAUUCUGGCGCUGUUAAAAAUCCAAAAACUCAGCUUGGACAAAAGCCUUUUACAUGUAGCGUGUGUGGGAAAGGAUUUAGUCAGAGUGCAAACCUCGUUGUGCAUCAGCGAAUCCACACUGGAGAGAAACCCUUUGAAUGUCAUGAGUGUGGGAAGGCCUUCAUUCAGAGUGCAAACCUCGUUGUGCAUCAGAGAAUCCACACUGGACAGAAACCUUAUGUUUGCUCAAAAUGUGGGAAGGCCUUCACUCAGAGUUCAAAUCUGACUGUACAUCAAAAAAUCCACUCCUUAGAAAAAACUUUUAAGUGCAAUGAAUGUGAGAAAGCCUUUAGUUACAGCUCACAACUUGCUCGGCACCAGAAAGUCCACAUUACAGAAAAAUGCUAUGAAUGUAAUGAAUGUGGGAAAACAUUUACUAGGAGCUCAAACCUCAUUGUCCACCAGAGGAUCCACACUGGGGAGAAGCCCUUUGCCUGUAAUGACUGUGGCAAAGCCUUUACCCAGAGUGCAAAUCUUAUUGUACAUCAGCGAAGCCAUACUGGUGAGAAGCCAUAUGAGUGUAAAGAGUGUGGGAAAGCCUUUAGUUGUUUUUCACACCUUAUUGUGCACCAGAGAAUUCACACUGCAGAGAAACCUUACGACUGCAGCGAAUGUGGGAAAGCCUUCAGUCAGCUCUCUUGCCUUAUUGUCCACCAGAGAAUUCACAGUGGAGAUCUUCCUUACGUGUGUAAUGAAUGUGGGAAGGCCUUCACAUGUAGCUCAUACCUACUUAUUCAUCAGAGAAUUCAUAAUGGAGAAAAACCUUACACAUGUAAUGAGUGUGGGAAGGCCUUCAGACAGAGGUCGAGCCUCACCGUGCACCAGAGAACCCACACUGGGGAGAAGCCCUAUGAAUGUGAGAAGUGUGGUGCAGCUUUCAUUUCCAACUCACACCUCAUGCGACACCAUAGAACCCAUCUUGUUGAAUAACAAGUAAGGAAGAGGAAGACCUCCAGCAUUGGUCAUAACCUUCUGCCUCCCUAAUGAGACACCUCUUUGCUGUUUUCUUCCUCCUCUGUAAAAGUGAGGGCUAUGUCCUUAAAAGUUAGAGUUUUCAGGAAUGCAGCACAAGACACAAGAAAAGCAUUUCAGAGGCUAAUUUAAAGAAGACAAAAAGCACCUAAAGGUGACACCUGAUGAUCCCAAAGAACCAAAGGAUUUUCUCUCUUCCAUCACGGGUUCGAAUGAGAGUGAGGUGCACAGAUGAGGAUGAGCCCUGUAAGCCUGAAGGAGGAGCAGCCCCGGGCCAGUGGCUCUUGCCUUGGGAACACCCCCACCAGGGCUGAGGGCUGGCAUUUCCCAUCUUAGCUUGGUGGGCCACAACCAAAGAUAUCAAGACCAAAGUUGAAAAGGAAGAUUUGAUGCCGGAAAAAACAAAUAUGAAAGGAGAAUUCUCUGGAAGACUGGAAGCAUGAAAAGUGGGAAGUAGGGGAACAGGGCAUUCGGAACAGCCUGCAGACAAGCAAGUGAGGAGAGACAAGCCAGACACCAGGCAGGCCCCAACAAAAGAAAAGAUGUCUCCCAGGAGAGAGGGGCCGGAACUGUAAGGAACUCAGGAAAGAGGUCUGCCACAACUCCAGCCUGGCUGCCCCUAGCAGGAAUCUCUAAGCAUGUACUGUGUGUGGCAAGGCCUUCAGCCAGAGCUCCACUUUCAUCGUGCAUCAGAUAAUCCACACCUGGGAGAAGCCGUGUGGGUGUGGGUAGUGUGGCAAGGCCUUCAUGCAGAGCUCCCACCUGACCUAGAACCAGAGGGUACACAUGGGGAAGAAGCCCUUUGUCUGUGGCACAUGUGGAAAGGCCUUCAGUCAGGGACCAAGCCUAGUCGUGCACACAGGGUGGAAGCCACACAUGUGCCCAGAGGGUGGCAAGACCUUCAGCUGCAGCUCAUGCUUCCUGGUUCACUGGUAGAGCAACACGGGGGAGAAGCCCUAUUGCUGCACCCAGUAUGGAAAGGCCUUCGGCCAGGGCUCCCACCUUUCCAGGGUGAGGAAAUCAACUCAGAGUUUUGCAAAUUAUCUGAGAUGACCCAACCAGUCAGAGGCAGAGCAUGUCCUAAAGGGCCCCUCAUGGUUGCCUAGUGCCUGGUGCCUGGGAGCAUGCCUGGAAGAAACACCAGCCAACUUCCCCGGUCAGAGCCCAGUGCUGAUGGGUCAGGGCUUCAGGUCCAGCACUGAAUCCACAUGAGAGCAAGCUGAGCCACUGUCAUCAACCUAGCUCUCAGGCUAAGGCAGGCUCCUGUAAGGGCCUCCCAGUGUCUUUGGAGAGACAAGAUACAUACACAGUAAACACACAAAUGAGUAAAGGACAGUAGGUGACAAGCUGAGAUUAAAGUGCUGAAGUGUGUGCAGAGAUAGCAAGAUCAGCAGGGAGGGAAAAUGGGCGAAGCUUUAGUGGGCCAGCUCUGGGAGAAUGGGUUGGCAGUAGGUGGAUGAGGGACAUCCUAGGGAGGGGACUAAGCAAACAAGGAAUGCCUCCAGGUGGGUCCCAGUGAGGGGAGAGACUGGCUGUGCAGUCACUAGGAGUGGCAGGCUUGACAUGCACAUGGGGAGGUGAGAAGUUUCAGGACAAAAGCCCCGGUGUGUGGGUGGUACCAACCAAGGCCAAGCCCUGCCCACAGUACUGGGCUUCGUGUACCAGGUUAACCCUGCGUGAGCCACUGAGCAUCAUUUUCCACACCUGUGCAGGACAGGAGUUGGACAUGAGGGGCUUUGAGCUCUCGUCUCUCUGCCACUUGUGAUUUCAGAGCUUUGAAGCCAUUGUCAGAAUGAGGACUAAUAGACGGAGGGAAGUGUUGGGAGAAUGAAGCUGAUGGGAACUCAGGGUAGACGGGCAAAGAGGAGGAAAAGGAGACAAGGGAGACCACGUGGGAGGCAGGUGGGGAAAUCCAGUUGGUUCGUCUCAGACUUUGGUACCUACAACAGGUGACCUUGCUCAGCUGAAGUAGGUCAAAGAUGCUCUUUAGUCAUUGUCCAUUCAUUCAGCAAUUUACUGAGCACCUUUUAUGUAAAAGGCACUUUGCUAGGUGAACUAAGGGACCCACAGGGAAUGAGACCUGGUCCUUCUCUCAACACAAUCCAGCAGGGGAAGUAAGACCACCACAAGGCAGAACAUGCUGAGCAGGAGGACAGCUGAGGAUAAUUGCAGGGAAGUUCAGACGAGGGUGGAUGCUGCUUUGAUUUGGGGUGGAUCAUGAAAAAAGUGGCAUUCAAGCCAACCUCAAAGGGUGAGUAGGAGUCCCAAAACCUGAUGGGAGAGGAGUUGUGUCUAGGAGGACUUGUCUGGAAAGCAUGAAGCAUGUUGGGAACAGUGUACUGCCUUGGCUUGAUAGAUGGAAGGCAUGCCAGUGACACCCUGGGUGCUUGCUAAUGUUCAUGCUGUGUGAGAUGUAAGGUACAGCUAGUCUGAAACCCUUCCUAGCACUGGCUCCUUUUGCAGUGUGGAUGUUUUGUUAAUAAAGAACAGGUUUGUGCUUCCCCCAUCACUAAGCAGUGCUUAGCUUAAAAUGUCAUGCAGCCUGGUCUAGUAAAUAAAAUAUACAGUGCAGCUCUCCAGAUCCCCUAGUUGCCAGCAAUUAUCAGUCUGCUGGGACCUGGCAGGAAGGAGAGAGUUUAAUGAAAGGGUGAUUUACAGAGGUUUGGGGAGGGGAUGGGGAGACACCAGAUACCAGCAAGAACUAGAGCCUCUGCCACUCCUAGCUUGAAAGGGCACGGAAGGAAAUGGUGUAGCUGAAGUCAUGCAGCUGUGGUUACAGAGGGACACAGCCACUGCCAGAACCAUGGUAGCAGACAGAAGUACCCCGUCCCAUUCUCAUGCCUCCCUCUGACAUACCAGUGCAUCCCACUAGGAAGCCAGAAGUAAGGGACCCAGGGUGAUGCCACCCACAGGUAUCUCUGCCCCAGGGCAAAGAGGUAGAUGAUGGAUCUGGGGUGCAGACAAGAAUAACCAAUAUGCAGGCCAAGGAGUGGAGUCAAAGAAUAACUCUGUGGGGCAGAGACCAGUCUCUACCCAGAGCUGCUUGGCCUCUGGUAGGACAUGGAUCUCUCUACUCUCUAAUUUCUACCUCUGCCACUUCCCUGAAUGGCGCAGCUCCUCUAAAAUGAGUGGGAGAGUAAACCCUUGGCCCUUCCCACCUUCCAGCAGACAUUAACUUCAUCCAGUCCCUGGACUCCCCCAACACCCACCCCCAGAGAAACCUGGUAAUUUGUUUCUCUGGCUGUACAGGUUAUCCCCUGCUGCCCUGCCCUAGAGAUAAGGCACUGUUAGGCCAUGUCUCAGAGCAGGAAAGCAAAUUAAUAAUAAUUGUUUUAUUUUAUAUAGUAGUUACUAAGCACUUACUCUGCGCAGUGCUCUUCUUAAUGUGUUUUACUCAAUCCUCACUGCAUCCCUUAGAUAGAUUGUUAAUAUCGCCAUUUUAUAGACAGGGACAGUGAGGCACAGAGAGUUUAAGAAGUUUGCCCACAGGUAUGCAGUAAGUGGAGAAGGGACUGGGCUGUGGGCAUUGAGUGGCUGCUGAGUCUGGACACCACAGCCCACACCAGGGGUGGACAUUGCUCCAUUCAAUUUACUGUCUCCCUGAUACGCCACCUGUAGCCCACACCGAGCCAUGCACAGCUGCAGUGGUCACUUCCCUGGCCACCGUCUCCAUCCAGGCAGAGGUGUUUUGGUCCCUUCACCACUUAGUUCUGCUUUGCCCUUAUGUCCAAAGCAAAACCCUUUUUACUCUACUUUUGUUCUAGUAAAAAAUUAACUUCCCUUCAUUCUGCAAUCCUUAGCCAGGUGUCUGCCCAAGACAACUAGCAGUUUCACACAGAUGCUAAGUCUCAUGCAAACCAAAACCAAGGAGUCACACAGCUCAUUUCAGAUGCUUAUUGUGUAAACACACAAGAUUAGCAGUUGCUUUCAUGAAUGUCUGGGUUUCUAUGCACACCCUACACCUUGCCUUUGUUAAAAUAGGCUGUUUUAACAAGGGAAAGGGCCCUGGUGUUUGCCAAAAGAAGGGGGAUUUGGCAAGAAAUAAGGAUUUUCUUAUACUUUGGAUGGACAUUUUUUAUUCUUAUACUUAAAAAAAUUAUUAUACUUUGAAAUUUCAACUCCCUGUGACGGAUGCCAUGCAGCUUGAGCUGACAGAUGUUGCAACUGUAAUUCACCUCAGGCUUUCCUUGUUGCCAGAAGUCAAGCCAGUGACUGUUCCUAGCACCCCCUUUUUGCCUACUAGUGAUUGAAAGAUAAAGUACAUCUCAUGCUGGAAUUGACCUGGAGGUAACUGGAGACAUUUUGAAAGUCAACCUUCCAGUUUGUUAAAAAUCUCUAAAAUUGACCCUCUAGUGUUGGGGACUAUAGAUCCACACCCAAGAGAGGACCAGUUCCUGACUUAAUUGGAGUCCGGGCUAAACUCAUAGCGGUGAGCAGCAACCAGCAUUACAAUACAGUCCUGUGCUGCUUAACAAUGGAGAGUUCUGAAAAGGGCAUUGUUAGGUGAUUUCAUUGUUGCGUGAAUAUUGUAGAGUGUACUCAAACAAACCUAGAUGGCAUGUCUAAGUACAUGCUAGGCUCUGUGGUAUAGUCCUAGGCUAUAUGAUAUACACCCUACUACACCCUAACUAUGUGGUACAGCCCCACUGCUCUUAGACUACAAACUUGUACAGCGUAUUAUUGUACUGAAUACUGUAGGCAAUUGUAGCAGAAUGGUAUCUGUAUAUCUAAAAAUAACUUAGAAAAGGUACAGUAAAAAUAUGGUAUGAAAGAUAAAAAAUAGUAUGCUUAUAUAGGGCAUUUACCAUGAACGGAGUUUGCAGGACUGGAAGUUGUUCUGGAUGAGUCAGUGAGUGAGUGGUGAGUGAAUGUGAAGGCCUAGGAUGCUACUGUACACUUCUGUAGACUUUACAAAUAUUGUACACUUAGAGUACACUAAAUUUACUUAAAAAUUUCUUUCUUCAAUAAGUUAACCUAAUGUAACUUUUUACUAUAUAAACUUUUAAAAUUUUCUGACUUUUGUAAUAACACUUAGAUUAAAACACAAAUGCACUGU